GAAAUGCGAUAAGUAAUGUGAAUUGCAGAAUUCAGUGAAUCAUCGAAUCUUUGAACGCACAUUGCGCCCGCCAGUAUUCUGGCGGGCAUGCCUGUUCGAGCGUCAUUACAACCAUCAAGCCCCCGGCUUGUGUUGGGGACCUGCGGCUGCCCGCAGGCCCUGAAAAACAGUGGCGGGCUCGCUGUCACACCGAGCGUAGUAGCAUACAUUCUCGCUCAGGGCGUGCUGCGGGUUCCGGCCGUUAAACGACCUUCAUAACCCAAGGUUGACCUCGGAUCAGGUAGGAAGACCCGCUGAACUUAAGC
RNAcentral lists this unclassified non-coding RNA (305 nucleotides) under plant metagenome. Its description in RNAcentral is "partial contains 5.8S ribosomal RNA, internal transcribed spacer 2, and large subunit ribosomal RNA". The stretch from base 1 to 105 matches the Rfam family "5.8S ribosomal RNA", at positions 50 to 154 of the family's 154-position model. The record is from RNAcentral.